AUGCUAUUCCCCACCCGUCCCUGUAAAUCCCAAGCUCCUGCCGCCGUAGCUGCUAUCUGCAGCCUCCGCCUCCCCUCCUCAUCGCCGGCGCUUAUCCCUCCCCCGUAUCACGACGACAACCCAUUCGCCUCACUACUUACUUCCGAUCCCCCUCCGCCGGAUCCGCUCCGCCAGGUUCUCGCCACGGGAGACGUCCACGGCGCGCUCCGCGGCCUCCCUGGCCUCGCUCGCCAGCUGUUCCGGUGGGCGGAGGGCACCCCGCACGGUUUCCCCCGCUCCGCCUCCGCAUUCGCCGCCGUCCUUGUCCCGCUCGCUGAGGCCAGGAGCAACCGCUCCGCUUAUCCCGUCUCCCUCCGCGCUAUCCAGGCUGGCCUUCUCCUUCCCCUCAUCUCUCUCCUCCUCACGUAUCCCCUGUCCCCCUCCUCCCACCACCUCCUCAACUUCCUCUUACGCAUGUCCACCAAGUUUGUGCCCGAAUGCCAAGCUCAGGACCCUGCGCCCACCAGCUGUUGGACGCAAUGCCUUUCCGCCUUCCAAGAGAUGGCGCGUCAAGGUGUCGCCCCUUAUGUCAAGGUGUGCAACUGCGUGCUCUCUGUGCUGUGCGACGCGGCCAUGUGGGACGACAUGCGUGCUGUGUAUUCAGAUAUGCUUCAGCUUGGGGUUGAGCCAUCCAUUGUCACAUACAAUACAUUGCUGGAUUCUUUUUGUAAGGCAGGGAGGAUCGAUCAGGCUGUCAUGCUGCUCAAGGAUAUGGAGGCCCAAGUUGCUGGGUGCUUGCCGAAUGAUGUCACCUAUAAUGUGGUGAUCAGUGGGCUGGCCAGGAACGGUGAGCUGGACAAGGCGGCUCAACUGGUUGACAGAAUGCGGUUGUCCAAACAAGCGUCAGCCUUCACAUACAAUCCACUUAUCAGUGGGUUGUUAGCAAGGGGUUUUGUUGAAAAGGCUGAUGCUUUGCAGCAGGAGAUGCAGAAUGAUGGCAUUGUGCCAACGGUGGUGACAUACAAUACAUUCAUUCAUGGGUUAUUUAAAAGAGGGAACGUGGAGGCGGCAGAGUUGAAAUUUCUGGAAAUGAGGGCAAUGGGGUUGCAGCCAGAUUUGAUUACUUACAAUUCCUUGAUAAAUGGGCAUUGUAAGGCAUGUAAUUUGAAGCAGGCACUUUGGUUGCUUGGUGAUUUGAGACGUGCAGGGCUAGCACCAACAGUUAUGACAUAUAACAUCCUUAUAGAUGGCUAUUGUAGAUUAGGUAAUUUAGGGGGGGCUAUGAGAUUCAAGGAGGAGAUGAGAGCAGAGUGCUGCCUGCCUGAUGUUUGUACAUAUACUAUUCUUAUGAAUGGGUCAUGUAAGGUCAAGAACAUUGCUAUGGUAAGGGUGUUCUUUGAUGAAAUGCUGAGUAAGGGUUUAAAGCCAGACUGCUUUGCUUACAACACAAGGAUUUCAGCAGAGCUGACUCUAGGUGCUAUUUCCGAUGCUUUUCAGUUGAGGGAGGAGAUGAUGCCGAGUGGAAUUUCUUACGAUACAGUUACAUAUAAUAUUCUUAUUGAUGGACUGUGCAAGGCUGGUAGCCUGAAAGAUGCCUAUGUGUUGUGGAUGAAGAUGGUCAGUGAUGGUUUACAACUUGACUGUGUCACAUACACUUGCUUGAUUCAUGCACAUUGUAAGCGGGGGCUUCUAAGGAAAGCAAAUAAUAUUUUUCGUGGCAUGGUUGCAAGUGGUUUGUCACCCUCGGCUGUGACCUAUACCAUUUUUAUUCACACAUACUGUAGGGUGGGAGAUCUUGAUUCAGCAUAUGGCUGGUUCCGGAAGAUGCUGGAGGAAGGAGUGGAACCUAAUGAAGUAACAUAUAAUGUGCUCAUGAAUGCACUAUGCCGGAUAGGGAGAACUGAAUUGGCUUAUCAAUAUUUUCAUGAGAUGCUGGAGAGAGGAUUGGUGCCAAACAAAUACACAUACACUUUGUUGAUAGACGGGAACUGUAAAAAAGGUAACUGGGUGGAGGCUGUAAGGUUGUACUGCGAAAUGCAUCAGAAAGGUAUUCAUCCAGACCAUUGUACACAUAAUGCCUUGUUUAAGGGAUUUGGCGAAGAUCACAUGCACGACACAAUUCAGUACUUGGAGAAUGUUGUUUUGGGUGCA
Molecule: ribosomal RNA, 2130 nt
Filed under: Triticum aestivum (bread wheat)
Lineage: Eukaryota; Viridiplantae; Streptophyta; Magnoliopsida; Poales; Poaceae
Description: partial small subunit ribosomal RNA
Source: RNAcentral